This is a long non-coding RNA of Silurus meridionalis, 742 nucleotides long. RefSeq lists it as uncharacterized. The record is from RefSeq and is a predicted model, not a curated record. Lineage: Eukaryota; Metazoa; Chordata; Actinopteri; Siluriformes; Siluridae. The transcript has 5 exons.
CCUGAUAACGUGGAUGAGGAUGAAGCUGAGAAUUAUGAUGACGCCAUUACAGCUGAUCAGAAGUCAGUUCUACUGACAGAGGACGUGUGUGAGAACUAUGAUGAUGCAGUUACUGCUGAAACAAACCCAAACAUCAUCACAGAAGAUGAAGAUGAAGAUGAUGAUGAUGAUGUGAUCAGUGAGGAACAGGAUGUAGGAGAGACAGGAAAAUGUGAUGAGGUGGAGGAGAAAUCUCAGAAAAACAGGGACCAUGUGACUGAGACACGCCACCAAAGGCCUUUUCUCAGGAAAUUACAUUUCAACUUUUACAAAGACAAAAAAUGAUUUGAUUCUACUUCCAAUAAUGUCAUGUUUUCUGAAUGGUGUUGAUUCUCCCCCUAGUUAUUAGUAAAUAGAGUAGUGAGAGUUCAAUCCCUUUCAUAUGACUUCAUGCAAAAUCUCCAGCUUUUCCUUUCCUACACUUUUAAUGCUAUAAGUCAACUUCAAUAUCACUGUCACACCACAACUCAUUUAUCACAACAAUUCUUUCAUCAAAACUGCUCUGAUUUUCAUCUUCAUGUUUUCCAUUCAUCAACUUCUUAUUCAGUGUGUUUAGAAAUGUGUUAGUGACUAUAAACCACUUCACAACUAACAACAAGCUUUUUAUUCCUUAAAACUAUACUUUUUUAUUCAGUUCAAACAAAAACACAUUUACAUUUCUGUUCAAUUCUGUGUUUUUAAAUCCAAACUAUAGAAUUCAAUU